UCCAGACUCCUACGGGAGGCAGCAGUGGGGAAUAUUGCACAAUGGGGGAAACCCUGAUGCAGCGACGCCGCGUGAGUGAAGAAGUAUUUCGGUAUGUAAAGCUCUAUCAGCAGGGAAGAAAAAAGACGGUACCUGACUAAGAAGCCCCGGCUAACUACGUGCCAGCAGCCGCGGUAAUACGUAGGGGGCAAGCGUUAUCCGGAUUUACUGGGUGUAAAGGGAGCGUAGACGGAGAAGCAAGUCUGAAGUGAAAGCCCGGGGCUCAACCCCGGGACUGCUUUGGAAACUGCCUGACUGGAGUGCUGGAGAGGCAAGCGGAAUUCCUAGUGUAGCGGUGAAAUGCGUAGAUAUUAGGAAGAACACCAGUGGCGAAGGCGGCUUGCUGGACAGUAACUGACGUUGAGGCUCGAAAGCGUGGGGAGCAAACAGGAUUAGAUACCCGCGUAGAU
RNAcentral lists this ribosomal RNA (449 nucleotides) under uncultured bacterium. RNAcentral describes it as "bacterial SSU rRNA". It matches the Rfam family "Bacterial small subunit ribosomal RNA", at positions 330 to 795 of the family's 1533-position model. The record is from RNAcentral.